This 492-nucleotide ribosomal RNA is filed under the name uncultured bacterium. Its description in RNAcentral is "partial 16S ribosomal RNA". It matches the Rfam family "Bacterial small subunit ribosomal RNA", at positions 29 to 507 of the family's 1533-position model. The record is from RNAcentral.
AGUGAACGCUGGCGGUAGGCCUAACACAUGCAAGUCGAACGGCAGCACAGUAAGAGCUUGCUCUUACGGGUGGCGAGUGGCGGACGGGUGAGGAAUACAUCGGAAUCUACUUUUUCGUGGGGGAUAACGUAGGGAAACUUACGCUAAUACCGCAUACGACCUACGGGUGAAAGCAGGGGAUCUUCGGACCUUGCGCGAUUGAAUGAGCCGAUGUCGGAUUAGCUAGUUGGCGGGGUAAAGGCCCACCAAGGCGACGAUCCGUAGCUGGCCUGAGAGGAUGAUCAGCCACACUGGAACUGAGACACGGUCCAGACUCCUACGGGAGGCAGCAGUGGGGAAUAUUGGACAAUGGGCGCAAGCCUGAUCCAGCCAUACCGCGUGGGUGAAGAGGGCCUUCGGGUUGUAAAGCCCUUUUGUUGGGAAAGAAAAGCAGCAGGUUAAUACCCCGCUGUUCUGACGGUACCCAAAGAAUAAGCACCGGCUAACUUCGUG